AGUCUUGUUGCUAAUUGAUGGAUCUUCCAAUUGAAUCUCUUUGUGGUUUUGAAAUAGAACAGUGCUCGCAUGGUUGAUGGAGAGUCUAGAAUUUGCUUUUAACUUAUAGAUUUUGAGAUAUAUUGUUCGCUUAAGAUUUGAAUUUUUCCAUUGAAUCAUUAGGCUUGAAGAUCCCGACAGUGAAGAAACAAAGGAGUUCGUGCAAAAUCAGGUGGAAUUGACACAGAUCGUUUUGAAGACGUGUGACGUGAGGGAUAAAUUGAAU
This 265-nucleotide long non-coding RNA is filed under the name Eucalyptus grandis. Its description in RNAcentral is "long non-coding RNA (EGRA_LNC007070)". Lineage: Eukaryota; Viridiplantae; Streptophyta; Magnoliopsida; Myrtales; Myrtaceae. The record is from RNAcentral.